This is a long non-coding RNA of Hyla sarda, 463 nucleotides long. RefSeq lists it as uncharacterized. The record is from RefSeq and is a predicted model, not a curated record. Lineage: Eukaryota; Metazoa; Chordata; Amphibia; Anura; Hylidae. The transcript is spliced from 4 exons.
CGGAACUUAGCUGUGGAGGAGAGGAAAUAUCGUGCCUGAAGGACCUGUGUGAUGCUUUGGAGGAGGCUGAGCUGGAGGAGAGGUCACAUGUCACCCCAGUAAGGACUUGACCCCUGCACAGGAGUAUCUAGAAGAAUUGAUGCUGUUUUGAAGGCAAAGAGUGAUCUGCAUGAAAAGAUUCUGACAUGUGAAAUCCCCCUAAUAAGGAUUAUAGAAGAAAAUAGGUAGGAAGCCCACAACUAUAUUGGAGAUCCUCCUUUACAACUAAGAAUCUGUAACAAUCAUAAAAAGCAUUACAUCCAUGCUAUCUCCUGACUUUUCAAUUUUACCUGUAUCCGAAGCUGAAAUCGUUGCUUCAUGGAGUGAUGACUACCUCCCUGUUUUCUUCCUGGAGUUCUGAUGACACUUUAGGAUUACACCCCUGGACUUACUGAAAGGAAUACCAUAAACAAGACUGAUUAUG